AGAGUUUGAUCAUGGCUCAGAACGAACGCUGGCGGCAGGCCUAACACAUGCAAGUCGAACGAGAAGCCACCUUCGGGUGGUGGACAGUGGCAGACGGGUGAGUAACGCGUGGGAACGUGCCUUUCGGUUCGGGAUAACCCAGGGAAACUUGGGCUAAUACCGGAUACGCCCUUCGGGGGAAAGAUUCAUUGCCGAAAGAUCGGCCCGCGUCGGAUUAGCUAGUUGGUGGGGUAAUGGCCUACCAAGGCGACGAUCCGUAGCUGGUCUGAGAGGAUGACCAGCCACACUGGGACUGAGACACGGCCCAGACUCCUACGGGAGGCAGCAGUGGGGAAUAUUGGACAAUGGGCGCAAGCCUGAUCCAGCCAUGCCGCGUGGGUGAAGAAGGCCUUAGGGUUGUAAACCCCUUUCAGCGGGGAAGAUAAUGACGGUACCCGCAGAAAAAGUCCCGGCUAACUCCGUGCCAGCAGCCGCGGUA
Molecule: ribosomal RNA, 478 nt
Filed under: uncultured Pseudomonadota bacterium
Lineage: Bacteria; Pseudomonadati; Pseudomonadota
Description: bacterial SSU rRNA
Rfam family: Bacterial small subunit ribosomal RNA
Source: RNAcentral